RNAcentral lists this ribosomal RNA (498 nucleotides) under uncultured bacterium. RNAcentral describes it as "partial 16S ribosomal RNA". It matches the Rfam family "Bacterial small subunit ribosomal RNA", at positions 30 to 523 of the family's 1533-position model. The record is from RNAcentral.
AUUGAACGCUGGCGGCAUGCCUUACACAUGCAAGUCGAACGGUAACAGGUCUUCGGAUGCUGACGAGUGGCGAACGGGUGAGUAAUACAUCGGAACGUGCCUAGUAGUGGGGGAUAACUACUCGAAAGAGUGGCUAAUACCGCAUGAGAUCUACGGAUGAAAGCAGGGGAUCGCAAGACCUUGUGCUACUAGAGCGGCCGAUGGCAGAUUAGGUAGUUGGUGGGAUAAAAGCUUACCAAGCCGACGAUCUGUAGCUGGUCUGAGAGGACGAUCAGCCAAACUGGGACUGAGAAACGGCCCAGACUCCGACGGGAGGCAGCAGUGGGGAAUGUUGGACAAUGGGCGCAAGGCUGAUCCAGCAAUGCCGCGUGCAGGAUGAAGGCCUUCGGGUUGUAAACUGCUUUUGUACGGAACGAAAAGCCCCGGGUUAAUACCCUGGGGUCAUGACGGUACCGUAAGAAUAAGCACCGGCUAACUACGUGCCAGCCGCCGCAGUAA